GGGAAGGUGGCUCAGUGGUAGAGCACUUGCCUUGCAUGCAAGAAGCCCUAUUCCU
RNAcentral lists this transfer RNA (55 nucleotides) under Dipodomys ordii (Ord's kangaroo rat). It matches the Rfam family "tRNA". Rfam says of the family: Transfer RNA (tRNA) molecules are approximately 80 nucleotides in length. Their secondary structure includes four short double-helical elements and three loops (D, anti-codon, and T loops). Further hydrogen bonds mediate the characteristic L-shaped molecular structure. tRNAs have two regions of fundamental functional importance: the anti-codon, which is responsible for specific mRNA codon recognition, and the 3' end, to which the tRNAs corresponding amino acid is attached (by aminoacyl-tRNA synthetases). tRNAs cope with the degeneracy of the genetic code in two manners: having more than one tRNA (with a specific anti-codon) for a particular amino acid; and 'wobble' base-pairing, i.e. permitting non-standard base-pairing at the 3rd anti-codon position. The record is from Rfam by way of RNAcentral. Lineage: Eukaryota; Metazoa; Chordata; Mammalia; Rodentia; Heteromyidae.